UACGGGGGGGGCAAGCGUUGUUCGGAAUUACUGGGCGUAAAGGGCUCGUAGGCGGCCAACUAAGUCAGACGUGAAAUCCCUCGGCUUAACCGGGGAACUGCGUCUGAUACUGGAUGGCUAGAGUUUGGGAGAGGGAUGCGGAAUUCCAGGUGUAGCGGUGAAAUGCGUAGAGAUCUGGAGGAACACCGAUGGCGAAGGCAGCCUUCUGGGCCAACACUGACGCUCGUGCACGAAAGCGUGGGGAGCAAACAGG
RNAcentral lists this ribosomal RNA (253 nucleotides) under uncultured bacterium. RNAcentral describes it as "partial 16S ribosomal RNA". It matches the Rfam family "Bacterial small subunit ribosomal RNA", at positions 524 to 776 of the family's 1533-position model. The record is from RNAcentral.